GCCAGGCGCAGUGGCGCAUGCCUGUAGUCCCAGCUACUUGGGAGGCUGAGGUGGGAGGAUUGCUUGAGUCCAGGAGUUCUGGGCUGUAGCACACUAUGCUGAUCGGGUAUCUGCAUACCCGAUCAUCAGGUGACCUCUCGAGAGCAGGGGACCACCGGGUUGCCUAAGGAGGGGUGAACCGGCCCAGGUCAGAAACGGAGCAGGUCAAAACUCACCUGCUGAUCUGUAGUGGGAUCAUGCCUAUAAAUAGCCACUGCACUCCAACCUGGGCAACAUCGAAACCCUGUCUCUG
Callithrix jacchus (white-tufted-ear marmoset) is the source of this 292-nucleotide unclassified non-coding RNA. It matches the Rfam family "Metazoan signal recognition particle RNA". Rfam says of the family: The signal recognition particle (SRP) is a universally conserved ribonucleoprotein. It is involved in the co-translational targeting of proteins to membranes. The record is from Ensembl. NCBI's taxonomy places the organism in Eukaryota, Metazoa, Chordata, Mammalia, Primates, Cebidae.